Non-coding RNA from Paramuricea clavata, 549 nucleotides. The record is from the annotation of a GenBank genome assembly. NCBI's taxonomy places the organism in Eukaryota, Metazoa, Cnidaria, Anthozoa, Malacalcyonacea, Plexauridae.
CGACGAUUUAGUCCUGCUAUGCAAAUAUUUUCGUGUUCAUUGACUGUGAAAACAAUCAAUUUCUAAAGAAAUUAAUAAUGAUAAUAAUUUUGAAUUUGCAUAGCGGGACUAAAUUGUCGGGCCAGCUACGCCACUGGUUGUACCGCAUACGGCACGCAUGGAGAAGUCUUGGCGUAAACGAAUGGCGUUCAUAAAAUAACCAACAGCCGAGUUCACUGGUGGAAACAGAUAGCUAUACUUCGAAAUAAUUCUUGCUCGUUGUCGUUGAGCUUCAGCAAUGUCAAUGCAAGGAAUUUUAUAGUCCAUAAGAACGCGGGUUUUAAUCCUGUACUUUCACAAGUCAAAAAUACAGUAGCAUCGUUCACAAACAGUUGGCGAUGUUUCGGAAACCAAAAGAUCACGUAAUAAAAAGAUCCGUUUGAAUAUCGGACAGGAUACACUUCAAUUUAACAACCAGAUUGUUCGUUUGAUCGGUCGGUCGGUGUGGAAGAUAUCAAAGUAGCUUCUACGAUGAAGCGUGGCCGCGUGCUCAACUUCGCAAUCUUUCCU